Molecule: long non-coding RNA, 5499 nt
Organism: Medicago truncatula (barrel medic)
Lineage: Eukaryota; Viridiplantae; Streptophyta; Magnoliopsida; Fabales; Fabaceae
Exons: 4
Source: RefSeq, a predicted model, not a curated record
AAAGUUUUCUUUUUUUCCCCUCCAAAUGAAAAAGAAAAGAAAUGCAAAAGGGUUUGGUUGGUAUAAAUGUUGAGCAAUAUUGGUUGAAAAGGAUAGGGAGAGAGUGAGAGAUAGAAAGCAAGCAAGAAAACAAAGAGCCCUAAUGCAUAUAGAUCAAAAUAGGCCAUUUUGAGUGAUAGAUAUUAUAGUUGAAAUCUUAGGUAUGUGCAGCAUAGGACUGUGCCAAAAAUAGGAGGAUGAGUUUGCAGAUCUGAUCUGACUCAUUCAUUAGAGUGGUAGAAAUUAGAAAAUAGAGAAGAAAGAGUGAAUCAACAUUUGUGGAUGUUUUGCUAUGAACAAUUAAUAUACGUGGUAGCUUCUGCCAGUGCCAUUAUAUGCUAUUGAAUAUUUAGAAGAGGGGACACACAGUGGAGUAGAGAUAUUGACAGAAGAGAGUGAGCACAUGCUGCAGUGAUUGUAUGAUAGCAUACAAUUCUUGGUGCGUGCUCACUUCUCUUUCUGUCAUCUUAUCAACUCUUCAUUUCUUUCUGUGUCUCUUUUUCCAUUUCCUUUCCAUAGAUCUCAUCUCUUUAAUCAAGUUUUCUGAUGAUUCCACUCCAUUAAUCCAUCUUCUGGCUCAUUGUUGUAAUUUUCUUCACCAAGUCUUCUCUCACUGCCCUUCACUUGUGCUUGCCGAAAAAUGAAGUCUCUUAUCUUUAAACAAGAUAUGUGAAUCUUCUUGUUUCAAGUUCGAUCAAUUGCCUUAUCUAUCUUUUUUUUUCUUUGAAUAAUCAAGUCCUUUAUUCAUGUUUUUUUUUUUUUUUUUUAAUUGAAGCCCUUAUCUAUUUCAUUCUGACCCUAUUCUUUUGGGUGCAUAUUUUUUAUUAAUUUUUUUAAGCAGCGAAAUAUUCAUCGUCUUUGUAAUAACUAAUUUUUAUUGUGGAACCUGAUGAAGACUAUCUUUGGUUAAAUUUUUUCUCCCAAUUGUAUAUUUUUCACCUACAAUUUUCAAAAGACAAUGUUUAAAGGAUUCCAAUUUAGUUUUACUCCAAACAAUAUAAUGCAUGUAUUUGUGACUUAAUAUUUUCAUUUUAAUGUGUCUAGCGGUGAAACUCACACAAUAAAUAUAUACUGAGAAAUGCUGGUUCAAACUAGCUCCCUUGCAUAUCAUAUGUCCAUAGAACCUCUUUUGUUUUUUGGUUCAUAGAUCCCAUAAAGCCUUACUAUAUGAGAUGUACUUACAUAUAUUUGUGUCUUAUUUUAAUUAUACGUUUCUCUAUUAUUUGUACUUUAAUUUUUUUAAUAAUGAUAAAGCUUAGUUGCGUUUACUUAUGUGUUUUUGGGUGAUUCUUCAUAUAAAAUUAAUCAUUUGUGUUUAUAAUAAACUUUGAGAAAAUUGUGAAUUUGAGAAAUCAUAGGUAAUUAUGAGUAUUUUAUAUGAAGAACAACACAAAAAAUUCUUAAAGAAAUACACCUAAAUUUUGUCCUUUUAAAAAAUUAAUUUUUAUCUGCUUAAUUUAUACAACAUUCAAUUAUAUUUCACCAUUUAAAUUUUAUGCAUCGUUUAAACUAUUUUAUAACAUGCAUUCAAUCAUAUCUUACCACAUAAAUUGUGUAGAGAUAUUAUAUAGUGUGGUUUUAUACAUACAUUCAAUCAUAUAACAUGUAGAAAUCAUUUUAAAGCGUGAUUUGAUUAGAUGCAUGUAAACAAUAUAUGUAAAUUAGGAAGUUAGAUUGAGUUAAUGAUAAGAAGUUAGAGGUUUAGGUUGAAAACCAGACAAAAGAGAAAAAUUAAUCUUAUAAUUAAUUACUAACAUUUUUCAUUAAAUAAAACAAUGAGCAAAUUAUAAUUAGAAUAAAAUAAAAUAAUCCCCAUUAUUUUUAUUUUUUUUAAGGAAAAGUAAGCUUCAUUCUAUGAUUACUAUUUUUUGAUUAUAAUAAUAUAAAAGAAUAAUAUUAAUUUAUUUAUGCUGCAAUUGUGAUCAUGGAAGUAGAUCAAAGCGUGGCUUUUUAUGGUACUUGUCUUUCAUGAUUUCAUUAUCCGAAAUCCAAAUGGAGUUUCUCUUUCUCAAAUCAAAGCUAGCUAGGUGUGGACGGGAAUGGAUAUAUACAGUGAAACCGGAGUUCAUCAAGCACCAACCUCCUUGAUAAUACAGGUGUAACAUACCAUGUGGAGUCACUAGCAAGGGCUACCCCAACCAUCUACACACUGCAUACCAAACUGAAUAACAGAAGUCAAAACAUUCCAAAAUAAUGGACUUUUGAUUUUUUUUGGGGGGUGCUCCGAGAACAGUUAACACGACGUGGCAUUGACAUCCCCAAUAACCCUCCUCCAAAAUAGUUUAAGCCAAGUAGGGAGUGUUUUUAAGGAGAUGAUCCGUUUUCUAUGGUUCGUUAUGUUACCAGGCUGUGGUCAUAGCAAUUGGUUUUGGUAAGCAAGUUGUCUGUAAAAUAGCAGUAGAUAUGCCUGUAUGCACUCUAACAUGACAUGAGGAGAUAAUUAUGAUCUACUGAGGUUAUUAUAUGAAAAGCCUUAUACAGAGGGAUAUACUAAUGCAGGUAACUUGGAAUGCUCUAUGUGGAUAUCUCUUAAUUCUAGGAUCAAAAUGUAUAAUUAUCAAAAGUAGGUCUGUGUAUAAGUAAAAAUAUAGCUACUAUUUUGGCUAGAUUGAAAGGUGGUUGUUUUUCUUUUAAGGAGAUUAAAAGGUGGUUGUAAAAUCAAAUAUAGUGGUAGGGACUACUUCUCAAACUCAGUUCUAGAUAAAAAGUAGUCAUUAAGCAUGUCAACUUUUGGAAAGUUUUUCUGGUAAGUAGCAGUUUCCAUUACCAUAACUUAGUUCCCUUCCACAGAAUUUGAAAAUUGUAUUAGAGAAGCCUUAACCUCUAGCAAUUUAAUUUUUGUCUUUAAUAGCUAGUAUAGCUAUAACUUGUAUUUACUUGAGUCUAUCUGUGUUGGAAUAUAUUUUAAUUAAAUGUCAUAACCAUUAUCAUAGUCAUGACUUCAUUAAGUAGAAUUUGUUGGUUUGCCUUCAUCCUUAGGUUUAAGAGAAAUGUUGUUAGCACACUUUCUAACGUAUUCUCAUUUAUAUGAGAGCCCCAAUAAAUAUACGGCGAUGCUAUAUAUAGCGAACCAAUCACGAAUCAAAUGCAGCCGUUGGAUUAUCCUCCAUUUGACUAAAUACAUGGCUUAGUGAAAGCAAAUAGGACCCACUUCAUAUGCAUACUAAUUGUCGUGAUAAUUUCGCGAGCCGGUAUGUCGCGAUAUAUAUCAUUAUCCCUAAAUAUAUAUAGUAUAUGAUUUAAUAGGAUUCAUGUGAAAAGAGCGUGUUAGAGAAUAUAUUGUGGGGAUUGGCUAUCCCUCAAGGCUUAACUUGAUGAAGGCACGUUACAUUCAUUACCCGUGAUGUAAGUAUUGCUUACUCAUGAGCUAAAGUAUACAUACCCAAAAAGAAAGGGAUUAUAUUCAAUGAACUAGCCACUCCCAAAAAGAAAGUUAUUAUCUUACAACUUUUAAUCAUAAUAUAAUAUAUAUUUCUAUAACACUCUCUUAUAGCUUAUGAGCUAGACAAGAUCGUGCGACUAUUGUCUUGUUUCGAAAUUUAGUUUAGCAAAGAGAAAUUGGAUAUAGCAAAGGGUUUAUCUCAUUACUACAUAGCUGACUAUGAUGUUUUACAUUUGAGGGAAGCAUUCAUCCCAGAAGAUUCAAAUAUUAGGUAAAGCUUACGAAUGGGUUUUAUAUAACAAAACUUGAGCAAUUCUUCCCAUUGGAAAGUUAGUGCGGUGGAUUGUGAUCAUUUGCUUGAAUGUAUUUAUAUAUUAUAUACACUUCUGUAGUUUCUCAGAAGAGUAAAAUUAUCAGCCUUUACAGAUUCCUAUUUUCUUCAACAUAAUAUUAGGAAUGAACAGCAUUGUCACUACCACUAUAUUGAUAUGAUGUUAUUUGUAAUUUUCUAGGGUUCAAAAUAAUAGAAAAGUAUUAAAGUGAUUUAGGAUCUAUGAAUUCCAUAUGAUUGUUACAAAUUAGUUACAAUAUGUCAAUAUCAUAGAGGAAAAGAUUACUUUUCUCUAUCCAUUGCCUUAGAAACGGAGAGUAUUCUUUGGCGCCCUUCAUUACUCAAGGGAGGUAGAAACUGAUUUCUAUCCUUGGUUUCCCAUUUCUGAAUCCUUCUGUGCUUAUGAUGGUUAGAUAAAGUAGCUAACGAUGCCGUUAGCCCGUUACAUCAAGAAAAGGAUUUGCUUCCCAUUUAAAAUGGAUAAAUAGGAUUUGUUUCACAUUUAAUAAGAAAAAUAAGAUUAAAAAUAUAUUCAAAACUGUAGCCAAAAAAUUGUGUUGCUAGCGUUACUAGUAAAUGUAAUGCAAAUUGAUAGGAUUUUAUUAUACAUUUCAUAUUAGAAUAUUACAAAUUUAAUUAUGUCUUUUUAUUAUGGGAUUAGAUCAUUUAACUAUUCAUAAAUCAUAAUCUUAUUCUUAAUUGGAUUUUGAUUUCUUACCAAAUUUUGCAUUGGUAAUUUUUUAAUAUUAAGCUUGAUCUGGAACACUUGUAUUAGUAUUUUGUUGUGGCUCAUUUAACUAUUUUACUAGCCAUAUUAUCAGGCUAAGAGGUAUUAAUCCUCAAACUGCGAUACACCUAUGUGCAGUACAUCAUCACAUAAGGAAACGACUCAUCUGUCUGAAAUUCAUGAUAGAAAAGAUAGGAAGUUUUGAGCACUAACACAUAAAACGUGAACACUGACAAAGUAACAUAAGAUCUAUGAUCUACUGAUGUUAUUAUAUGAAAUGCAGUACUACAGGCUAUAUAUAUGCAGGUCACAAGGAAUGCUAUACGUGGAGAUAUCUUAUUCCAGGAUCCAAAUGUAUUAUUAUAAAAAAUUCGGCCGGUAUAUAACCAGGAAUUUAACCACAAUUUGGCUAGAUUCAAAGUGGUUGAUAUAAAUCAUACAUAAUGGUACGGACUACUUCUCAAGCUUUGUUGCUAGAGGAACAAGCAUGUCAACUUAGCUCUGGUUUGCAUUAUCAGACAUAUGUACGUGAUGCCAAGUGAUUGCGAAAACGGGAGCACAGAAGAUGCACAUUUACAUGCUUCUAUUCUAUUUCAUCAGUGUGACUUUGGGAAUGGAUCCUUUUCAAUGUUCCAAAGUAUGGGUUGCACUAGCACAACAAACAAAUAUGUCAUAAUAGUACAUCUAUCAUGUUUGGUGACUAACAAGAUUUCCAAAGUGAUGUAAAGAAUGAACUUGUGGUUCGCAGAAGACAAUUUGUUGAUGAAAAUGCACAAGUUGGUGUAGUGGUGCAUAGUGGGUAGCAUACAUAGUUUAGACAACAGACUGGCAGGACAGCAACAGAUAUGAAUGUUUUUUUGUGAAAAUGUAUUCAUUGGAUCCUUUUGUUCUUAGUUAGUUAAUAAUUCAUUAUAACAUGCAUAAUAGUUUGUUGUGUUGGCUUAUGUCAUCCAUCCAAUUGAUUUGAGGACUCUGGUUAAUAAACUAAAAGGUAGAUAAUGUUAAUUGUUAUCAUCUCUA